GGGUUGUGAGGUUAAGCGACUAAGCGUACACGGUGGAUGCCCUGGCAGUCAGAGGCGAUGAAGGGCGUGCUAAUCUGCGAUAAGCGCCGGUAAGGUGAUAUGAACCGUUAUAACCGGCGAUACCCGAAUGGGGAAACCCAGUGUGAUUCGUCACACUAUCAUUAACUGAAUCCAUAGGUUAAUGAGGCGAACCGGGGGAACUGAAACAUCUAAGUACCCCGAGGAAAAGAAAUCAACCGAGAUUCCCCCAGUAGCGGCGAGCGAACGGGGAGGAGCCCAGAGCCUGAAUCAGCAUGUGUGUUAGUGGAAGCGUCUGGAAAGGCGCGCGAUACAGGGUGACAGCCCCGUACACAAAAGCGCAUGUGCUGUGAGCUCGAUGAGUAGGGCGGGACACGUGGUAUCCUGUCUGAAUAUGGGGGGACCAUCCUCCAAGGCUAAAUACUCCUGACUGACCGAUAGUGAACCAGUACCGUGAGGGAAAGGCGAAAAGAACCCCGGCGAGGGGAGUGAAAAAGAACCUGAAACCGUGUACGUACAAGCAGUGGGAGCACAGGUUUACCUGUGUGACUGCGUACCUUUUGUAUAAUGGGUCAGCGACUUAUAUUCUGUAGCAAGGUUAACCGUAUAGGGGAGCCGGAGGGAAACCGAGUCUUAACCGGGCGUUAAGUUGCAGGGUAUAGACCCGAAACCCGGUGAUCUAGCCAUGGGCAGGUUGAAGGUUGGGUAACACUAACUGGAGGACCGAACCGACUAAUGUUGAAAAAUUAGCGGAUGACCUGUGGCUGGGGGUGAAAGGCCAAUCAAACCGGGAGAUAGCUGGUUCUCCCCGAAAGCUAUUUAGGUAGCGCCUCGUGAAUUCAUCUCCGGGGGUAGAGCACUGUUUCGGCUAGGGGGCCAUCCCGGCUUACCAACCCGAUGCAAACUGCGAAUACCGGAGAAUGUUAUCACGGGAGACACACGGCGGGUGCUAACGUCCGUCGUGAAGAGGGAAACAACCCAGACCGCCAGCUAAGGUCCCAAAGUCAUGGUUAAGUGGGAAACGAUGUGGGAAGGCCCAGACAGCCAGGAUGUUGGCUUAGAAGCAGCCAUCAUUUAAAGAAAGCGUAAUAGCUCACUGGUCGAGUCGGCCUGCGCGGAAGAUGUAACGGGGCUAAACCAUGCACCGAAGCUGCGGCAGCGAACGUAUCACUUAAAGCGAUUCAGCGGGUUACGAUUGACGGAGCGAAGCGACGUCAAAGCGUAUACAAAGUCGAGUCGGUUUAAGGAUACGUUCGUUGGGUAGGGGAGCGUUCUGUAAGCCUGUGAAGGUGGCCUGUGAGGGUUGCUGGAGGUAUCAGAAGUGCGAAUGCUGACAUAAGUAACGAUAAAGCGGGUGAAAAGCCCGCUCGCCGGAAGACCAAGGGUUCCUGUCCAACGUUAAUCGGGGCAGGGUGAGUCGACCCCUAAGGCGAGGCCGAAAGGCGUAGUCGAUGGGAAACGGGUUAAUAUUCCCGUACUUGGUGUUACUGCGAAGGGGGGACGGAGAAGGCUAUGUUGGCCGGGCGACGGUUGUCCCGGUUUAAGCGUGUAGGUGUGUGUUCCAGGUAAAUCCGGUUCACUUUAACACUGAGGCGUGAUGACGAGGCACUACGGUGCUGAAGCAACAAAUGCCCUGCUUCCAGGAAAAGCCUCUAAGCAUCAGGUAACAUCAAAUCGUACCCCAAACCGACACAGGUGGUCAGGUAGAGAAUACCAAGGCGCUUGAGAGAACUCGGGUGAAGGAACUAGGCAAAAUGGUGCCGUAACUUCGGGAGAAGGCACGCUGACACGUAGGUGAAGUGAUUUACUCAUGGAGCUGAAGUCAGUCGAAGAUACCAGCUGGCUGCAACUGUUUAUUAAAAACACAGCACUGUGCAAACACGAAAGUGGACGUAUACGGUGUGACGCCUGCCCGGUGCCGGAAGGUUAAUUGAUGGGG
This 1957-nucleotide ribosomal RNA is filed under the name Salmonella enterica subsp. enterica serovar Derby. Its description in RNAcentral is "partial 23S ribosomal RNA". It matches the Rfam family "Bacterial large subunit ribosomal RNA", at positions 1 to 1889 of the family's 2925-position model. The record is from RNAcentral. Lineage: Bacteria; Pseudomonadati; Pseudomonadota; Gammaproteobacteria; Enterobacterales; Enterobacteriaceae.